Long non-coding RNA from Micropterus salmoides (largemouth bass), 593 nucleotides. RefSeq lists it as uncharacterized. The transcript is spliced from 5 exons. NCBI's taxonomy places the organism in Eukaryota, Metazoa, Chordata, Actinopteri, Centrarchiformes, Centrarchidae. The record is from RefSeq and is a predicted model, not a curated record.
CCUGCAGUUUUAUCUGCGCGUGGCUACAUUGGGGCGCACGCGCAUCUCAAGGGUUGUGGAGCUGUGUGCGUAAAGCACGCUCUCGCUCGCGUGUCUUGAUCUUAAUGUUUGGAAAAGCUACAGUUCUGGGAGUUCUGGGAACACAAGUCAAGUCGGGACAGCAAACGCCAGGUGGCGCACGCUAACCGCCAAAUUACGGUGUUCUCAUCACAUAUGAGAGAAGCAGGAAACAUGUCCCAUAACAGGACCCUGGAGCUGGAACAACCAACCAAACCAAAUAUGGAUGAGGUGCUGAGAGCUGCUUUCCAUCACGAACAAGCUGGAGAAUUGACAGAAUUCAACUUUAAAGAGCACUCUGAAGCUGGAGGCAAACCACGACAACACCAUCUGUAUCAGUAAUGCAGGAGAAACACAGAGACAACUCAUAAAUGUCGGUAAUGAGACUUUUACUUCAAAAGAUGUGGUCCAAGACAAAGAUGGAUCCCAGUCGUGCCCUCCCGGUGCCACCUGAGGCUGGCUGUGCACCGCCGAGCGCUCACUGUGUCCAGAGAGUCAGCAGGAGCCUGUGAGCAGUGCCUGUUCCAUGCUGCCGU